UCUUCUCUCCUCUCCUCCCCUCUCUUCUUCUUCUUCCUUCUCCGGUGACCAGCCGGCGACCUCCCAAGCGGCUCCCCACCCGGCCAGCGACCCUCCGGCGACGGCCAUAACCACCAGAAACGGCGGCAAGAGAGGGAGAAGAGAGAGAAAACGAGCACACAGUGGGCAGCGGCUUUCCGGCACGAUUCCGGCUUCAUCCGACGUUCGAUCAAGGUGAUUCAGGUGGCGUUGGAAAGCUUGUUCCGAGAGCUUUCUUUUGAUACCAAUUUUGUAGCAAAUGGAGGUCGGAUGAGUGAGAUAUGGAGGAGAGAAGUUUCGGGUUUUCUAAGCUUUUUCGUCAGAUCUACGACGAUCCGACCGUUGGAUCGACGAUCCGAGACCACCUAUGGACUGAGGAAGAGGAGAAGAACAUGGUGGUAUGAUCAGAUCCGGCAAAUGUCGCCGGCGAUCGGCGGCCGGCCACCGUGCGCGGUGGUUCCGACGGUGGCUCCGGUGGGCUAUGGAGAUGAUUCAACUUCCAGAGGCUUCCUCAUAUAUUUUUGGAAUUUUUGAGACAUAGAUAAACUUCGGGUGAUCGAGGUCAGCUAUUUUUCUGCAUCCAGCAGCCACAAUAGUCAUCGGUGUACUAUGAGUAAAAUAUUAAUUUUAAUUGUAAUUUCACUAUUAUUAUAUAUUCAAGCAUGCCCAUGCAUCACUUAUAUGUAUAUAUUUAUCUAGUUAAACUCUAGGCAUGUUUUAUGUUGCAUUCACAACUGUUAAAGUGCCAUGUAUGUUGUUGUGGUAAUUUAGAGCAGUGUGCGUGCGUUGGCGUGCAUGUGAUGUGGUGUUGGCUAUGGAUAGGACGGGUAGUCACGGCUUGAGAUCUUCGCUGGGACCCGAUCCUUCGGGGGUAGUCACGGCUUGAGUUCUUCGCUGGGACCCCGAUUUGGUUUAUUAAGCGAAAGUCCGGCUUGAGUUCUUCGCUGGCACCAGGCCACAGGAGGAGUUAUUUUACAGAGCAACCUAUUUUCUUCCUCGCAGGUUUAACAUCGAUUAUUUAAUUGUUUUACUAUCUUUUCUAAAUUUAAAAAUCUAGAACUCCGCAUGUGUUAGUAAUAGUGUGGACCUUAUUAGAAAUUGUGUUAAUUUAAAUUUUUGAAAUUAAUAAAGGAA
This is a long non-coding RNA of Hevea brasiliensis (rubber tree), 1152 nucleotides long. RefSeq lists it as uncharacterized. The transcript has 3 exons. Lineage: Eukaryota; Viridiplantae; Streptophyta; Magnoliopsida; Malpighiales; Euphorbiaceae. The record is from RefSeq and is a predicted model, not a curated record.